GCGUCCGUUGGGCACGGAUGUGCCCGGCACUUGUGAGGUGCCGCAUUUCGCUCCUGUGCGGGUGCGGGGUGGGCGGU
RNAcentral lists this transfer RNA (77 nucleotides) under Streptomyces umbrinus. RNAcentral describes it as "tRNA-His". Lineage: Bacteria; Bacillati; Actinomycetota; Actinomycetes; Kitasatosporales; Streptomycetaceae. The record is from RNAcentral.